This 905-nucleotide ribosomal RNA is filed under the name uncultured bacterium. RNAcentral describes it as "bacterial SSU rRNA". It matches the Rfam family "Bacterial small subunit ribosomal RNA", at positions 1 to 907 of the family's 1533-position model. The record is from RNAcentral.
AUAGAGUUUGAUCCUGGUCUCAGGAUGAACGCUAGCGGCAGGCCUAACACAUGCAAGUCGAACGGUAACAGGGAUUGCUUGCAAUCCGCUGACGAGUGGCGCACGGGUGCGUAACGCGUAUACAAUCUACCUUUUGCUGAGGGAUAGCCCAGGGAAACUUGGAUUAAUACCACAUAGUAUAUGGAAGUGACAUCACUAUCAUAUUAAAGGUUACGGCAAAAGAUGAGUAUGCGUCCUAUUAGCUAGAUGGUGCGGUAACGGCACACCAUGGCGACGAUAGGUAGGGGCCCUGAGAGGGGGAUCCCCCACACUGGUACUGAGACACGGACCAGACUCCUACGGGAGGCAGCAGUGAGGAAUAUUGGGCAAUGGAGGCAACUCUGACCCAGCCAUGCCGCGUGCAGGAAGACUGCCCUAUGGGUUGUAAACUGCUUUUAUACAGGAAGAAACCGCUCUACGUGUAGAGCCUUGACGGUACUGUAAGAAUAAGGAUCGGCUAACUCCGUGCCAGCAGCCGCGGUAAUACGGAGGAUCCAAGCGUUAUCCGGAAUCAUUGGGUUUAAAGGGUCCGUAGGUGGAUAAUUAAGUCAGAGGUGAAAUCCUGCAGCUCAACUGUAGAAUUGCCUUUGAAACUGGUUAUCUUGAGUUAUUAUGAAGUAGUUAGAAUAUGUAGUGUAGCGGUGAAAUGCAUAGAUAUUACAUAGAAUACCAAUUGCGAAGGCAGAUUACUAAUAAUAUACUGACACUGAUGGACGAAAGCGUGGGGAGCGAACAGGAUUAGAUACCCUGGUAGUCCACGCCGUAGACGAUGGUUACUAGCUGUUCGGACUUCGGUCUGAGUGGCUAAGCGAAAGUGAUAAGUAACCCACCCUGGGGAGUACGUUCGCAAGAAUGAAACUCAAAGG